Molecule: non-coding RNA, 657 nt
Organism: Vicia faba (fava bean)
Lineage: Eukaryota; Viridiplantae; Streptophyta; Magnoliopsida; Fabales; Fabaceae
Source: the annotation of a GenBank genome assembly
AUUUUCUUCCACGGCCAUUUACUUCCACUUCAUCUCCUCUCUCAUUUCCCUUCCUCACCUCGCUUUUCCACCAACUCAAACGACAGUUUCACUCUCCCUAUAACAGAAAAUGAAAAGUUUCGAAAAGACACCGGAAGCUGCAACACCAGCAACAGAGAGUUUCACAGCACAAACAACAUCAUCAGAGGAAUCACAAAACAAGAGAUCAAAUCCAGUUCCACCAACACAAAAUCCAAUAGCUUCUCUUUGUUUGGAUUAACAAAAGGAAACCACAAAGGAGAAAAUAAUAAAGAGAAGCCUCAACAGAAUAGUAAUAAUAAGAAGAAAGUUAUUGGUUAUGACAUGAUUCAAGCAUUGAAGAAAUACUUUUUCAGAAAAAGAGAAAAGAAUCGAUUCCAAGGCGAAGCUUAUUCACGUUCAGGGAAUUUAAUGAGGAAGAAUAAGCCACAAGUUAGAGGAAGUAGAGGAGAAUAUUCAGCACCAGCUUCCAUGAGAACUUCACCAACAAAUAGUGGACUAUUGCUAGCAAAAGGUGGUGCUUCUCUUUCUUCUUCAUCUUCUACAAAUGAUAGUACCAUGGAAGAGUUACAUGCUGCAAUUCAAGCUGCAAUUGCUCACUGUAAAAGUUCUAUUGCAAAAGAAGAUAAGAUCAAUUAA